This is a long non-coding RNA of Haemorhous mexicanus (house finch), 510 nucleotides long. RefSeq lists it as uncharacterized. The transcript has 3 exons. NCBI's taxonomy places the organism in Eukaryota, Metazoa, Chordata, Aves, Passeriformes, Fringillidae. The record is from RefSeq and is a predicted model, not a curated record.
UCCCCAGGUACCACCAGGUGCCACCCAGGUGUGCCCAGGUGACACUCAGGUGUCCGUAGAUGUCCCCAGCUGCCACCAGGUGCCACCCAGGAGCUUCCAGGUGCCCUCAGGUGUCCCCAAGUGCCACCCAGCUGUCCCCAAGUGACACUCAGGUACCAUCCAAGUGUCCCCAGGUGUCACCCAGGUGUCCCCAGGUGCCCUCAGGUGGCCCCAGGUGCUCCCAAGUGACACUCAGGUGCCAACCAGGUGUCCCCAGGUAUCACCCAUGGGUCCCCAGAUGCCACCCAGGUGUCCCCAGGUGAUACUCAGUUGCCACCCAGCUGUCCCCACGUGUCCCCAGGUGCUCCCCAAGUGUCCCCAGGUGCCAUCCAGGUGUCCCCAGGUGACACUCAAGUGUCCCCAGGUACCCCCAGGUGCCCUCAGGUAUCCCCAGGUGACACUCAGGUGCCAUCCAAGUGUCCCCAGGUGCCAUCCAGGUGUGCCCAGGUGCCACCAACCCCACGGUUGGGG